RNAcentral lists this ribosomal RNA (253 nucleotides) under uncultured bacterium. Its description in RNAcentral is "partial 16S ribosomal RNA". It matches the Rfam family "Bacterial small subunit ribosomal RNA", at positions 524 to 776 of the family's 1533-position model. The record is from RNAcentral.
UACGAAGGGGGCUAGCGUUGCUCGGAAUCACUGGGCGUAAAGGGUGCGUAGGCGGGUUUUUAAGUCAGGGGUGAAAUCCUGGAGCUCAACUCCAGAACUGCCUUUGAUACUGAAGAUCUUGAGUUCGGGAGAGGUGAGUGGAACUGCGAGUGUAGAGGCGAAAUUCGUAGAUAUUCGCAAGAACACCAGUGGCGAAGGCGGCUCACUGGCCCGAUACUGACGCUGAGGCACGAAAGCGUGGGGAGCAAACAGG